This 870-nucleotide ribosomal RNA is filed under the name Bicellonycha wickershamorum. Its description in RNAcentral is "SSU rRNA". It matches the Rfam family "Eukaryotic small subunit ribosomal RNA", at positions 448 to 1291 of the family's 1831-position model. The record is from RNAcentral. Lineage: Eukaryota; Metazoa; Arthropoda; Insecta; Coleoptera; Lampyridae.
AUCCCGGCACGGGGAGGUAGUGACGAAAAAUAACGAUACGGGACUCAUCCGAGGCCCCGUGAUCGGAAUGAGCACACUUUAAAUCCUUUAACGAGGAUCAAUUGGAGGGCAAGUCUGGUGCCAGCAGCCGCGGUAAUUCCAGCUCCAAUAGCGUAUAUUAAAGUUGCUGCGGUUAAAAAGCUCGUAGUCGAAAUUGUGUCCUCGGCCGCCGGUUCGUCGCUCGCGACGCCAACUGGCGCGCACGCUGGACGUCCAGCCGGUACUACGAACUCGCCUACGGGGUGCUCUUAACCGAGUGUCCAGGCGGGGGCCGGCAACGUUACUUUGAACAAAUUAAAGUGCUUAAAGCAGGCUAAAUUGCGCUCGCAUACACGCGCAUGGAAUAAUCGAAUAGGACCUCCGUUCUAUUUUGUUGGGUUUUUGUGGAACGACAGACGGAGGUAAUGAUCAAUGGGUGCGGAUGGGGGCAUUCGUAUUGCGACGUUAGAGGUGAAAUUCUUGGAUCGUCGCAAGACGGACUUAAGCGAAAGCAUUUGCCAAAAACGCUUUCAUCGAUCAAGAACGAAAGUUAGAGGUUCGAAGGCGAUCAGAUACCGCCCUAGUUCUAACCAUAAACUAUGCCAGCUAGCGAUCCGCCGAAGUUACUUCUAUGACUCGGCGGGCAGCUUCCGGGAAACCAAAGCUUUCGGGUUCCGGGGGAAGUAUGGUUGCAAAGCUGAAACUUAAAGGAAUUGACGGAAGGGCACCACCAGGAGUGGAGCCUGCGGCUUAAUUUGACUCAACACGGGAAACCUCACCAGGCCCGGACACCGGAAGGAUUGACAGAUUGAGAGCUCUUUCUUGAUUCGGUGGGUGGUGGUGCAUGGCCGU